GCUCGACUUCGGUGUGGCGGAUACUGCGUUCCACUUCUCCGACGAUUCUUUGCGUUAGAAUUGGUCGUAAUAAUAUGCGUUUUUCUCGUCAUUUGGCUCGAGCUUCUCUUACCCGUUUAAUAAACCCUUCUACUCCUAUAUGGUGUUGUUCAUUGAGUAUGGGGAUGAAGUCUAGUCAGGUUAUUACGUUGUACAUGGGGUUGUCACAAUUUACUACUUCUCCAUUGUCCAUAUCGUCCGUAUCAUUAGGUUUUACAGGUGGUCGUUUUCUCUGAUUAUUGCUGGUAUUAGAUUCGUCCAUGGUAAUAAAGGAACCUAAUUCAGUAGUAGCGUCAUGUCCUAAAUUUAUUUUAGAGAUAUGUUUUCCUAAUAUUUCUAUCUCUGCUGCACGCUUUUUGUUUUCACUGUCGGCUAUUCUUUGCGUUUUAUUGCGUUUCUUCUAUACGUCGCGCAAAGAGUUCGAUUUGCUCGAGUAUGGCACGAGUUGACUUAUCCAUAACUCCGAUUGUAAAAGAGCUAUUAAUGGUUUUGACUUUGUUUUCUCUAAUCCAGC
RNAcentral lists this unclassified non-coding RNA (553 nucleotides) under Bombus terrestris (buff-tailed bumblebee). RNAcentral's name for it is "misc RNA ENSBTSG00005032196.1". Lineage: Eukaryota; Metazoa; Arthropoda; Insecta; Hymenoptera; Apidae. The record is from RNAcentral.